GACGAACGCUGGCGGCGUGCCUAAUACAUGCAAGUAGAACGCACAGUUUAUACCGUAGCUUGCUACACCAUAGACUGUGAGGUGCGAACGGGUGAGUAACGCGUAGGUAACCUGCCUGGUAGCGGGUGAUAACUACUGGAAACGAUAGCUAAUAUCGCCUAAUAUUAAUUAUUGCAUGAUAAUUAAUUGAAAGGUUCAAUUGCACCACUACCAGAUGGACUUGCGUUGUAGUAGCUAGUAGGUGAGGUAACGGCUCACCUAGUCGACGAUACAUAGCCGACCUGAGAGGGUGAACGGCCACACUGGGACUGAGACACGGCCCAAACUCCUAAGGGAGGCAGCAGUAAGGAAUCUUCGGCAAUGGACGAAAGUCUGGACGAACAACGCCGCGUGAGUGAAGAAGGUUUUCGGAUCGUUAAGCUCUGUUGUUAGAGAAGAACGGGUGUGAGAGUGGAAAGUUCACACUGUGACGGUAUCUUACCAGAAAGGGACGGCUAACUACGUG
RNAcentral lists this ribosomal RNA (505 nucleotides) under uncultured bacterium. RNAcentral's name for it is "partial 16S ribosomal RNA". It matches the Rfam family "Bacterial small subunit ribosomal RNA", at positions 28 to 507 of the family's 1533-position model. The record is from RNAcentral.